Pongo abelii (Sumatran orangutan) is the source of this 148-nucleotide unclassified non-coding RNA. It matches the Rfam family "Metazoan signal recognition particle RNA". From Rfam's summary of the family: The signal recognition particle (SRP) is a universally conserved ribonucleoprotein. It is involved in the co-translational targeting of proteins to membranes. NCBI's taxonomy places the organism in Eukaryota, Metazoa, Chordata, Mammalia, Primates, Hominidae. The record is from Ensembl.
GCCAGGCACAGUGGCGUGUGCCUGUAAUCCCAGCUACACAGGAGGCUGAGGCAGGAGAAUCGCUUGAAUCCGGGAGACAGAGGUUGUAGUGAGCUGAGAUCACACCACUGCACUCCAGCCUGGGUGACAGAGCCAGACUCUGUCUCAG